AUGGUAACUUGUUGGGAAGAAGCUAUUCAUGGCUCUUGAAAAAAUUAUGUAUGGAGUUUGGAGUGAGGGAAGUUGCACUCUCCUCCAAAUAACGCCAUCUAUGCUUGGUCAUUGUUUCUGCUAAACUCUGCAGAGCUUUUGGCUAAUGCAUUGCAAACCGGCAAGUCACAGAACGGCGAAGGAGACUCCAUCAAGGGUCUU
Molecule: non-coding RNA, 201 nt
Organism: Thalictrum thalictroides
Lineage: Eukaryota; Viridiplantae; Streptophyta; Magnoliopsida; Ranunculales; Ranunculaceae
Source: the annotation of a GenBank genome assembly